This 64-nucleotide transfer RNA is filed under the name Neotoma lepida (desert woodrat). It matches the Rfam family "tRNA", at positions 1 to 62 of the family's 71-position model. Rfam says of the family: Transfer RNA (tRNA) molecules are approximately 80 nucleotides in length. Their secondary structure includes four short double-helical elements and three loops (D, anti-codon, and T loops). Further hydrogen bonds mediate the characteristic L-shaped molecular structure. tRNAs have two regions of fundamental functional importance: the anti-codon, which is responsible for specific mRNA codon recognition, and the 3' end, to which the tRNAs corresponding amino acid is attached (by aminoacyl-tRNA synthetases). tRNAs cope with the degeneracy of the genetic code in two manners: having more than one tRNA (with a specific anti-codon) for a particular amino acid; and 'wobble' base-pairing, i.e. permitting non-standard base-pairing at the 3rd anti-codon position. The record is from Rfam by way of RNAcentral. Lineage: Eukaryota; Metazoa; Chordata; Mammalia; Rodentia; Cricetidae.
GGGGAUGUAGCUCAGUUAGUAGGGUACCUGCCUAUCAUGCAGGAAACCCUGGGUUCCAUCCCCA